Molecule: unclassified non-coding RNA, 201 nt
Filed under: Hevea brasiliensis (rubber tree)
Lineage: Eukaryota; Viridiplantae; Streptophyta; Magnoliopsida; Malpighiales; Euphorbiaceae
Source: RNAcentral
GCCGACUGUUCAAUUUGGAGGAUCCGAUACCAAUCCUUUUCUGAUCCCACUGUAUUGCUCUGAGCUGAACAGUGGACAUUACAGACAGCAAGUAGCUGCGAUAUAUUCUCUAGCUGAGGGUACAGCCGUUCAGCUUUCUGUGCCACCUUUUGAGCCCCUAAAAAGUCAUUACUCUGCAUUUUCUUCUCAGCCAGCUCUUUA